CAGUAGCCACGGUAUACGGAGGGGGCUAGCGUUGUUCGGAAUUACUGGGCGUAAAGCGUGCGCAGGCGGUUUUGUAAGACAGGCGUGAAAUCCCCGGGCUCAACCUGGGAAUGGCGCUUGUGACUGCAAAGCUAGAGUGCGGCAGAGGAGAGUGGAAUUCCACGUGUAGCGGUGAGAUGCGUAGAGAUGUGGAGGAACACCAGUGGCGAAGGCGACUCUCUGGUCUGUAACUGACGCUGAGGAGCGAAAGCGUGGGGGGCGAACAGGAUUAGAUACCCCUGUAGUCCCUGUCUCUUAUACC
Molecule: ribosomal RNA, 301 nt
Filed under: uncultured bacterium
Lineage: Bacteria
Description: partial 16S ribosomal RNA
Rfam family: Bacterial small subunit ribosomal RNA
Source: RNAcentral